RNAcentral lists this ribosomal RNA (253 nucleotides) under uncultured bacterium. Its description in RNAcentral is "partial 16S ribosomal RNA". It matches the Rfam family "Bacterial small subunit ribosomal RNA", at positions 524 to 776 of the family's 1533-position model. The record is from RNAcentral.
UACGUAGGGGGCGAGCGUUGUCCGGAUUUAUUGGGCGUAAAGAGCUCGUAGGCGGUUUGAUAAGUCGGGGGUGAAAUCCCGGGGCUCAACCUCGGAAUUGCCUUCGAUACUGUUAGUCUUGAGUCUGGGAGAGGUGAGUGGAAUUCCUAGUGUAGAGGUGAAAUUCGUAGAUAUUAGGAAGAACACCAGUGGCGAAGGCGGCUCACUGGCCCGGUACUGACGCUCAUGUGCGAAAGCGUGGGGAGCAAACAGG